Molecule: ribosomal RNA, 546 nt
Filed under: Rhodococcus sp. (in: high G+C Gram-positive bacteria)
Lineage: Bacteria; Bacillati; Actinomycetota; Actinomycetes; Mycobacteriales; Nocardiaceae
Description: bacterial SSU rRNA
Rfam family: Bacterial small subunit ribosomal RNA
Source: RNAcentral
CAUGCAGUCCGAGCGGUAAGGCCUUUCCGGGGUACACGAGCGGCGAACGGGUGAGUAACACGUGGGUGAUCUGCCCUGCACUCUGGGAUAAGCCUGGGAAACUGGGUCUAAUACCGGAUAUGACCAUUCCAUGCAUGUGGGGUGGUGGAAAGAUUUAUCGGUGCAGGAUGGGCCCGCGGCCUAUCAGCUUGUUGGUGGGGUAAUGGCCUACCAAGGCGACGACGGGUAGCCGACCUGAGAGGGUGACCGGCCACACUGGGACUGAGACACGGCCCAGACUCCUACGGGAGGCAGCAGUGGGGAAUAUUGCACAAUGGGCGGAAGCCUGAUGCAGCGACGCCGCGUGAGGGAUGAAGGCCUUCGGGUUGUAAACCUCUUUCAGCAGGGACGAAGCGUGAGUGACGGUACCUGCAGAAGAAGCACCGGCUAACUACCUGCCAGCAGCCGCGGUAAUACGUAGGGUGCGAGCGUUGUCCGGAAUUACUGGGCGUAAAGAGUUCGUAGGCGGUUUGUCCCGUCCUUUGUGAAAACCCGGGGCUCAACUUC